This is a small nuclear RNA of Otolemur garnettii (small-eared galago), 100 nucleotides long. NCBI's taxonomy places the organism in Eukaryota, Metazoa, Chordata, Mammalia, Primates, Galagidae. The record is from Ensembl.
UUGCUUCAGUGGCACAUAUACCAAAAUUGGAAUGAUACAGAGAUUAGCAUAGCCCCCGAGCAAGAAUGACAUGCAAAUUCAUAAAGUGUUCCAUAUUUUG